RNAcentral lists this ribosomal RNA (497 nucleotides) under uncultured bacterium. Its description in RNAcentral is "partial 16S ribosomal RNA". It matches the Rfam family "Bacterial small subunit ribosomal RNA", at positions 28 to 507 of the family's 1533-position model. The record is from RNAcentral.
GAUGAACGCUGGCGGCGUGCCUAAUACAUGCAAGUCGAGCGAACGGACGAGAAGCUUGCUUCUCUGAUGUUAGCGGCGGACGGGUGAGUAACACGUGGAUAACCUACCUAUAAGACUGGGAUAACUUCGGGAAACCGGAGCUAAUACCGGAUAAUAUUUUGAACCGCAUGGUUCAAAAGUGAAAGACGGUCUUGCUGUCACUUAUAGAUGGAUCCGCGCUGCAUGAGCUAGUUGGUAAGGUAACGGCUUACCAAGGCAAGGAUGCAUAGCCGACCUGAGAGGGUGAUCGGCCACACUGGAACUGAGACACGGUCCAGACUCCUACGGGAGGCACCAGUAGGGAAUCUUCCGCAAUGGGCGAAAGCCUGACGGAGCAACGCCACGUGAGUGAUGAAGGUCUUCGGAUCGUAAAACUCUGUUAUUAGGGAAGAACAUAUGUGUAAGGAAAUGUGCACAUCUUGACGGUACCUAAUCAGAAAGCCACGGCUAACUACGUG